RNAcentral lists this ribosomal RNA (547 nucleotides) under Trichoderma atroviride. RNAcentral describes it as "eukaryotic LSU rRNA". The stretch from base 155 to 308 matches the Rfam family "5.8S ribosomal RNA". The record is from RNAcentral. Lineage: Eukaryota; Fungi; Ascomycota; Sordariomycetes; Hypocreales; Hypocreaceae.
CCAUACCAAACUGUUGCCUCGGCGGGGUCACGCCCCGGGUGCGUCGCAGCCCCGGAACCAGGCGCCCGCCGGAGGGACCAACCAAACUCUUUUCUGUAGUCCCCUCGCGGACGUUAUUUCUUACAGCUCUGAGCAAAAAUUCAAAAUGAAUCAAAACUUUCAACAACGGAUCUCUUGGUUCUGGCAUCGAUGAAGAACGCAGCGAAAUGCGAUAAGUAAUGUGAAUUGCAGAAUUCAGUGAAUCAUCGAAUCUUUGAACGCACAUUGCGCCCGCCAGUAUUCUGGCGGGCAUGCCUGUCCGAGCGUCAUUUCAACCCUCGAACCCCUCCGGGGGGUCGGCGUUGGGGACCUCGGGAGCCCCUAAGACGGGAUCCCGGCCCCGAAAUACAGUGGCGGUCUCGCCGCAGCCUCUCCUGCGCAGUAGUUUGCACAACUCGCACCGGGAGCGCGGCGCGUCCACGUCCGUAAAACACCCAACUUCUGAAAUGUUGACCUCGGAUCAGGUAGGAAUACCCGCUGAACUUAAGCAUAUCAAUAAGCGGAGGAA